GUAGGGAAUAUUGGGCAAUGGAGGCAACUCUGACCCAGCCAUGCCGCGUGCAGGAAGACGGUCCUCUGGAUUGUAAACUGCUUUUGAAUGGGAAGAACACUACCCUUGCGAGGGUAUUUGACGGUACUAUUAGAAUAAGCACCGGCUAACUCCGUGCCAGCAGCCGCGGUAAUACGGAGGGUGCAAGCGUUAUCCGGAUUUAUUGGGUUUAAAGGGUGCGUAGGCGGCUUUAUAAGUCUGGGGUUAAAGGCGGCAGCUUAACUGUACGCAUGCCCUAGAUACUGUUGAGCUUGAGUGACCUGGAGGUAGCUGGAAUUCCCUGUGUAGCGGUGAAAUGCAUAGAUACGGGGAGGAAUACCGAUUGCGAAGGCAUGUUACUACGGGUAAACUGACGCUGAUGCACGAAAGCGUGGGGAUCAAACAGGAUUAGAAACCCGAGUAGUCC
This 445-nucleotide ribosomal RNA is filed under the name uncultured bacterium. RNAcentral's name for it is "bacterial SSU rRNA". It matches the Rfam family "Bacterial small subunit ribosomal RNA", at positions 354 to 796 of the family's 1533-position model. The record is from RNAcentral.